AUGAAGAGGUUGAGGGAGAUGGCUUUAGAGGACUCGUCAUCAUCUGAAGAGGAAGAAGACGAUGAUGACUUUGGCACUGUUUUAGGCAUGAUUUUCAAUGAUGAUGUUCGGCGAGCGAGGAGAGGAUCACAGUUUGGCCGCAUAGACAUCAACCAUGAUAGAGAGGAGGGUCAUGCGAAGAUCAUGAGGGACUACUUUGCCCCAAAGCCAACCUAUCCGAAGAAGUACUUUUGCUGGCGCUUUCGGAUGCACACAAGUCUUUUCUCACCAUUGCAAAAGUCGUCGAGAGAUAUGAUGAUUGUUCAAGCUUCGGAGAAAUGCAUCUGGAGAGAUAAGUGCAAGCCCUCUGAUAAAAUGCAUUGCCGUUGUUCGAGUGUUGGCAUAUGGGUGUUCGGGCGAUGUAAUCGAUGA
This 411-nucleotide ribosomal RNA is filed under the name Triticum aestivum (bread wheat). Its description in RNAcentral is "partial small subunit ribosomal RNA". Lineage: Eukaryota; Viridiplantae; Streptophyta; Magnoliopsida; Poales; Poaceae. The record is from RNAcentral.